UUAUAUUUGAGAGUUUGAUCCUGGCUCAGGAUGAACGCUGGCGGCGUGCCUAACACAUGCAAGUCGAGCGAUCUCUUCGGAGAGAGCGGCGGACGGGUGAGUAACGCGUGGGUAACCUGCCCUGUACACACGGAUAACAUACCGAAAGGUAUACUAAUACGGGAUAACAUAUAAAAGUCGCAUGGCUUUUGUAUCAAAGCUCCGGCGGUACAGGAUGGACCCGCGUCUGAUUAGCUAGUUGGUAAGGUAAUGGCUUACCAAGGCAACGAUCAGUAGC
Molecule: ribosomal RNA, 277 nt
Filed under: Paraclostridium benzoelyticum
Lineage: Bacteria; Bacillati; Bacillota; Clostridia; Peptostreptococcales; Peptostreptococcaceae
Description: partial 16S ribosomal RNA
Rfam family: Bacterial small subunit ribosomal RNA
Source: RNAcentral